GUUGGAGACUGGUUUGAACUUCUAAAUGAUGCCAGCACUAUGGUGCUUUUCCAAUUAUGGAUAACAACAGAAAAGCAGUCAUUGGUUUCUAAAAGGUCAUCAAGAUAUAAGGCCCGAUUGGGAAAGGAAUGACUUAUGGAGUUGGCUUGUGUAAAUCUGGGGAAGUUUUAUGCACAAGUCAGGCACAAAAUCCCAGUGUGUAUGCAAAGAAAAAGCUGUUAAAAGUGGUCUUUCGAGUGAAUUUAGUGGUGGAGACGUACCACAUUGACAGCCCGGGAGGAUGGAGACCUCUGUUUUUCCAAAGAUUACGUAUGGUGUAAGCGACGGUAAAACAAGCCCUCUCUUCACACCCUGCGCUGCCAGUGACCUGGCGAUGACCUCUUUGGAUGAGAGGGCAAUUCAGUUUUCUCUGCCUCUCUGCUAAGACUGCCUGCCGUGUCCCACCUGUGAGGAUGGUGAUAUAGACGCUUGUCCGCUAGGAUCAGGAUUAUUUCCUCCAGCUCAUUUCACACACAGCAGGUCACUGAAGGGCCGUUGGUGUGGCUGUGUUGCUCUGCUCGCCGCUGUCAAUCACUGUCAAAUUCACACUAACCUAGAAGCAAAAGCCUCCCCAGCUCAUUACUGGGGCCAAUCCCCUUCCCCUGCUUUGUGCUUGUCCACUUAGAACACACAGUGUGGAAACUGGGUAAGAGUUGAUUUCCAAACGUGUAACGCAAGGGUGCUCGUUCACAGCUGCCAGGGCUGUUCUGCAGGGCGUAGGCCCUCGAAUGAGAGACACUGGUCUCUCUCAAGAGGGGACACAAUAAAGCACAUUUCUCCCAGAGUGUCCCUGGGUCUUUCCCAAAAUCUCCAUUAAUUGCCACCUAAGUUUUCCCUCUUCCCUUCUCCCCCUAUACUGCUCCAGAUCCCUCCCUUUUCUCUAUUGCUCCCAAAUGCCUUCCCUUACUCCUCUUGUCUCCAUAGCUCCUAUGCUCCAUUCAUCAUUCCACUCUCCCCCCGCCUGCAGCACUGCAGCCAGCCGCCUCAGCAGUCCCUGGGCCUUCCCUUUCCCCACAUUCGAAGCCGCUCUUGGAGCCCUCCAGGUGUUUGGACAGCACCCGCUUUUCUGCCCAUCUGAAUGUAAAUGAGGGGGAAGCAUUCACACAGCACGAUCAGGUGCCACAGCACUUUGCAUGCAGAUAAAAUGGCUUUCCUGACUCAAAGAGCUUCCUGGCCGAAUAACACAAACCUACAGUAAGACAUAAGGCAACCUUUCAGGGGAGAAGAGGGUGUGUGUUUGCAUGAGU
This is a long non-coding RNA of Mauremys reevesii (Reeves's turtle), 1286 nucleotides long. RefSeq lists it as uncharacterized. The transcript is spliced from 3 exons. The record is from RefSeq and is a predicted model, not a curated record. NCBI's taxonomy places the organism in Eukaryota, Metazoa, Chordata, Testudines, Geoemydidae.